Molecule: transfer RNA, 75 nt
Filed under: bacterium
Lineage: Bacteria
Also listed under: 2 other names
Description: tRNA-Glu
Rfam family: tRNA
About the family: Transfer RNA (tRNA) molecules are approximately 80 nucleotides in length. Their secondary structure includes four short double-helical elements and three loops (D, anti-codon, and T loops). Further hydrogen bonds mediate the characteristic L-shaped molecular structure. tRNAs have two regions of fundamental functional importance: the anti-codon, which is responsible for specific mRNA codon recognition, and the 3' end, to which the tRNAs corresponding amino acid is attached (by aminoacyl-tRNA synthetases). tRNAs cope with the degeneracy of the genetic code in two manners: having more than one tRNA (with a specific anti-codon) for a particular amino acid; and 'wobble' base-pairing, i.e. permitting non-standard base-pairing at the 3rd anti-codon position.
Source: RNAcentral
GGCCCCAUAGUCUAGCGGUCAGGACGUUGCCCUCUCAAGGCAGUAACACGGGUUCAAAUCCCGUUGGGGCUACCA